Oryza meridionalis is the source of this 206-nucleotide non-coding RNA. The record is from Rfam. NCBI's taxonomy places the organism in Eukaryota, Viridiplantae, Streptophyta, Magnoliopsida, Poales, Poaceae.
UCCCUCCGUUCCUAUGUCUUUCUAUGUCCAACUUUUAUCGUACGUCUUAUUUAAAAUAUCUUUAUAAUUAGUACUUUUAUUGUUAUUAUGUGAUAAAACAUUAAUAGUACUUUAUGCGUGAAUUAUGUUUUUUAAUUUUUUUAAAAAAUAUUUUAAAUAAAACGAACGAUUAAAGUUGGACAGGGGAACUUAUCAUCGCAUUUAAA